Pteropus alecto (black flying fox) is the source of this 1374-nucleotide long non-coding RNA. RefSeq lists it as uncharacterized. The record is from RefSeq and is a predicted model, not a curated record. The transcript is spliced from 2 exons. NCBI's taxonomy places the organism in Eukaryota, Metazoa, Chordata, Mammalia, Chiroptera, Pteropodidae.
GGAAGAAAGGGAAUUCUUUCUCUGCAGUCUUUGGACUUUUUAAUGAGCCCAUAAUCAUUUACUACUCGUGUAAUUGAAUUUCUGUGGAAAACUAUAAUGGAGAUAAUGGCACGGAGCUGGGCUGUUUGAGGUGUGGGUGCCAUGCCUGGCAGAAACAGGCACCCAGAACAGGACGCCAGAGAACUGUGACCUGCCCACUGGUUUGACACUCUGCCAGGAUUGGCCAUUAAUCAUGCGACGCCCGUUAAUCCUCCGAGGGAGGUACUAAUAUACCGUCCCAUCUUACUGUCUAGAAACUGGAAUAACUGGGAGGGUAGGUCACCUGCCCAAGGUCACAGGGCUCCUCAAGGCCAGCGUGGGACUUGACCCCAGAUAGCUCCUGGACACACUUGGCAGAAGAUGCAGAUACGUUAGCACCUCCCUCAAAGCACACGUGGGCGACGGCAUCGAUAAGGAGAAAAUUCUGAGAUGUUCUAAAUGAAAUUACAGAGGCCGGAGAACGUGAGAAAGAGAAAGAACCGUUAGUCCGUUAACGGCUGCCGGCCAGAUGACAGAAGACUGCCCACAUUCCUGUGGACGCUGUUGGCACUUGGGACGGACUUACAGGUGGCUUAGAUCGUUUUAGCCAGGCACCACCCACCUCCAGCGCCGCCUGCUUGCUCGCCCGCGGGCAGGAGCGAACACUUCUUCAUGUGGACUGGGAGCUGGACUCGGAGCUGGACCCCUUCGCCUUCUCCCACCCCUUUGCCCACAGCUAAAGUAAAUUUCUUUCAAACGAACUCUUUCUCCCCACUUUCCCCUACUUGAUGUAUAAAACUGCUUUCAAAAUUCUGGUAAUGCAGGGAGGAGGCAAGAGAAUUAAAAUGUUAAAUCAAGCCACAUUCGGAGACUGCCAUGUGCUGACCAGCCCUGCAGCCAGGCCACGAGGUCACCUGCAGAACACAGGGAGAUGUCUGCUGGAACUAAGAGCCCCUUCGCCACACCUGUGAAGAGGGAACAGGAACCAAGAGUCACUCCCUGUGGUUAAAACCACCGAGAAUCUAAGGAUUAAAGGCUGGGAACUGCCCGCAGGCCUUUCACGCUACACAUUCUUACCUUUUCACACUAGACUCUUCCCCUUCCUCACUGCAUGUUCCUAUCAAAGGAAACGGGUUGACAAAGUCUUUAAACUGUAAGUCACAGGAAUUGAAGAAUGACACAGAAACUGAAUUCCCUGGACACUCAGGGCCCCUCUCACUGUCUUCACUCUCACUGUCCUCUCGUUGCUAUUGUCCCUCUGAGCUGCUCUCAGGCCCUCAUUCUGUCUCUGAGAGAGACCACCCUCUGUCUGUGGAGUGUUACCCCUUCCCUAAUAAACUAUUUUUUUGACUAUGA